CGCGACACCAACGCCUCUUCCCCCUCCUCCUGAAUAAAAAAGGCGGAGGGCACGCCACCACAACAGCAACAAGGCCGAUACACACCACGGAGUGUCGCACUGUCUACUUGGACAAACAGGGGAGGUUAUUGUGCAAGGGCUCACUUAUCCACAUACAUGCAGACGCAAACUCGGACGCAGAUCCGAACGCAUAUUCACGGCACAACAUGAGUGCAUCAGCUCCUCGUAUAGGCCUCCUCGGGGCCGCUAACAUUGCCUGGCGCGCCUGGGCCGGCGCUCGCGCGAACGGCAUGUCGGUCACCCGCGUCGGAUGCCGCGAUGUCGAUAGAGGGCGCAACUUUGUGGAGCGGGCGUGCGAUGCGCUCAAGAUCGACGAGGCGGCCGUUCCGGCGGUUUGCAGCUACGAGGAGCUUGUGUCUGCUGCGGAUGUGGAUGUCGUUUACAUUGCCAUUCCCGUGAAAGCCCGUGACCACUGGGUGAGGGAGUGCAUUAAGCACAAGAAGCACGUGGUUGGGGAGAAGCCGCCGGCCACCGAUGCUGAGAUGCUGCGCUCGUGGAUCGAGGCGCUUGACCAGCAGAAUCUGCUUUACAUGGAUGGCACAAUGCUCUCGCACGGCAAGCGGGUGAAGGAGGUGUGCGCAGCAGUGAAGCAGAUGGGCGGGCCGGUGAAGCACAUCUUCGCCAACGUUACGCUGGGUGGUGACGAGGCCUUCCUGACAAACAACAUUCGCACUAAUCCAGAGCUGGAGCCGCACGGCGUCCUCGGCGAUCUCGGUUGGUACUGCAUCCGCUACGCGCUGCACCUCAUGGACUUCCAGAUGCCGACCGAGGUGACGGGCCGCAUUCUCAAGCAGAACGACAAGGGGGCCAUCAUCUCCUUCAUAGGCGACAUGACAUUCCAGGUCGGGGGCGAGGUGGCUUUUGUGUCUUUUUUCGUUUCCUUCGAAGCGGCCUUUGAGCAGACUCUGCACAUCACCACGACAGAGGGCACGCUGCAGCUAGACGACAUGUGUCUGCCCAUGACAAGCCGCCCCGAGACGGAGUACUACGAGGUGCACAACAGUAGCUACGACAACGUGUGCGAGUCGCACAACCUCCACACCGAGGUGAAGCACACGGUUAAGGGCGACGCACCGAAUUCGCAGUGCACGGAGCUGUGGGGUGACGUAGCUAGAAUCCUCUACGCAGACGGCGAGGGCGUCGCGCGGCGGCUCAAGGCGAAGGAGGAGAGCUCGCGUUACUGGGCGACGGUGUCGUGGAAGACGCAGGCUGUGAUGGACAAGAUGCUUGAGUCUGCCCUUAUCGGUCGCAACGCUGCACCUGCUGCGUAGAGAGAGAAGGGGUAAUGUCUACGCAGUGGUGUCGACGCGCGUCUGCAUGAAUGCGCGUGGCGUCCAGGGUUGGCAGCACAGUAGUGUGCAAACGACAAGAUGAAGCGUGUCUUUCAGCAGAGAUGGCUGCAUCAGAGGCUUUUGGAGAUUUUCGCGCUUCUUCCUCGUCCGCCGACACGCCCUUUCCUCCUCUCCGUCUCUGUUUUCCCCUCACCGGUUGCGCACUCGAACGGGCGUUUUCGUGGGUGCCAUUCGAGCCCCCCCCCCCCGCUUCCGCCCUCUUUUUCCUUCUUACGGUUCUCAUGGGCGGCACGGUUCUCUCUGCGUUGAGCCUUCUUCUUUGUUCUCUAUGCCAUAUCCCUGGCGUGGUGCUCCUCUACCCUCCUUCUCCCUCCCUGAGUGGACGUUCGCGCCAAUGUCGGGGAGAGGGAGAGGGAAAAGGGGAGGGUGAGGAGGGCACCGGCAUACGCUCCGCUUGUUUUUCAUCGACAUAUACACAUGCACCGUCACCUGCGCACCUCCACACCGCAGCCACAUGCACAAAAAGAGAAGGGCCCCUCACUCACACCCAAAGCAAAGGAGGAAGGUACAUACGAACAACCAACUGCAUCACCACAAUACAACAAUGGAGGAUGAGAGGGCACAGUGCGGAGGUGAAGGCAUGCAAGUGCCCAUGUGCUCUUGUGCGCGACUCGCAUGCCCAGCGUCAUCGGGCUGGGCGUAUUUGGCUGCAGACCAGCACUUGCGUCUGUGCGUGUGUGCUCAGUGAUCAUGGCAAGCGCAGCGCUUGGUGCCCGCUUCACAUGGCGC
Molecule: unclassified non-coding RNA, 2141 nt
Filed under: Leishmania donovani
Lineage: Eukaryota; Euglenozoa; Kinetoplastea; Trypanosomatida; Trypanosomatidae
Description: gene:LdHU3.23.1140(CDS-product:oxidoreductase-lik e_protein)
Source: RNAcentral